RNAcentral lists this long non-coding RNA (1267 nucleotides) under Monodelphis domestica (gray short-tailed opossum). RNAcentral's name for it is "lncRNA (ENSMODG00000042498.1)". Lineage: Eukaryota; Metazoa; Chordata; Mammalia; Didelphimorphia; Didelphidae. The record is from RNAcentral.
GUAGGGAGCAGUAAGAAAAAGAAAGAUAAUAAAAAAGGGAAGCAGUUGAAAAAGUAGAACGGUAUGGGGGGGGGGGGAGGAAAAUUGUUGCAAAUUCACCAAGCUGUAUAUAACAGCCUUAGUUGGAUCAUAACUCUUAUUUCCUUACUCAAGGAUUUUAUGAGGAUCAACUAUGUAAAGCACUUAGCAUAGUGUCUGGCACACAGAUGUUGUUGUUGCUCGUCUUUCAUUUUUCAAAGACCAAUGACAUCACAAUGAGUGAUAUCAUGACUUAGGUGUGAUUUGGAUUUUAGUGAGGCAGAGUUGCACAAAGCCAUCAGCUUUACUCUUUCUUUCAGAAUCACUGAAGUUCAGCAGCAAGACAAAAGUCAGGAUGACUGGUGACAGCCCAGGAUUCAGUGAAUGACCUUGCCAAUUUCAACCUCCUACCAAAUUAUUAAUAUUCCACAAUACUUGCUUUUGUUACCUACAUGGCCAUUGGAACAAAUUGCUCUUAUCCAUUCAUUCUCACAUGCUUGGGAUGUUGUAGCUAUAACAUCCUCAGCAACCACAGCUGCUGAAGAUACAGAAAAAAAAGGUUACCAGCAAAGUCCUUGGCACUAUCAAAUGAUUUGGUACCAGAGACAGAUAUGGCUUUAUUAAUGGAAAUGCAAUUAAAGAAGUUAUAUUUACAUAUUUUUUUUUGCUGAUAUAUUGUAUGGACUACAGGGAGCUUUUCACCUGAGUUAAAGUUGAAACCUCUUGUAUGUUUUUGUCUCUCCCAUUAGAAUAUGAAUUCAAAGAGAGCUUAGGCUGUCUGUCUUUUCUCUUUGUAUCCUUAGUUCCUUACUCAGUUCUUUGUAUAGAGUAAUUCUUUUAAAAAAUUACUUUUCUUUCAUUCAUUCAUGCAUCCAGUCAUUCUAGAAGCAUUUAUUAAGGGUCAUUCUUUGAGUUAGCCUCUAGGUGUACAAAGGUAAAAGUGAAAUAGUGCCUAUCCUCAAGGAUUGUAUAUUCUACUAGCUAAAUACAACAUAUAUGAGCAUAUACAUAUUUUAGGAAUAUGUAUAUAUUAUGUAAAUAUAUCCCAAACAAUGAAUUUCUAUAUAAUUGCUACAUUUUAUUGUUAUAUUUAUAAUUAUCUUUUGGGAGUGGAGAAUAUGGAAGGGAGGUUUGGUUUGUCUCAAGCAAGCCAUAUAUAUACAAAUUAUCUCUUCACAACAACCUUGAGUUGUUGAGUUAUUUAAUAGUAGUGAAUAAAGUAUUACUAUCUUCAUUUUGUAGCCGAGGA